GAUGAACGCUGGCGGCGUGCCUAAUACAUGCAAGUCGAGCGAACAGACGAGGAGCUUGCUCCUCUGACGUUAGCGGCGGACGGGUGAGUAACACGUGGAUAACCUACCUAUAAGACUGGGAUAAAUUCGGGAAACCGGAGCUAAUACCGGAUAAUAUAUUGAACCGCAUGGUUCAAUAGUGAAAGACGGUUUUGCUGUCACUUAUAGAUGGAUCCGCGCCGCAUUAGCUAGUUGGUAAGGUAACGGCUUACCAAGGCAACGAUGCGUAGCCGACCUGAGAGGGUGAUCGGCCACACUGGAACUAAGACACGGUCCAGACUCCUACGGGAGGCAGCAGUAGGGAAUCUUCCGCAAAGGGCGAAAGCUUGACGGAGCAACGCCGCGUGAGUGAUGAAGGUCUUCGGAUCGUAAAACUCUGUUAUUAGGGAAGAACAAAUGUGUAAGUAACUAUGCACGUCUUGACGGUACCUAAUCAGAAAGCCACGGCUAACUACGUG
Molecule: ribosomal RNA, 497 nt
Filed under: uncultured bacterium
Lineage: Bacteria
Description: partial 16S ribosomal RNA
Rfam family: Bacterial small subunit ribosomal RNA
Source: RNAcentral